GGACGAACGCUGGCGGCGUGCUUAACACAUGCAAGUCGAACGGAAAGGCCCUGCUUUUGUGGGGUGCUCGAGUGGCGAACGGGGGAGUAACACGGUAGUAACCUGCCCUUGACUUUGGGAUAACUUCAGGAAACUGGGGCUAAUACCGGAUAGGAGCUCCUGCUGCAUGGUGGGGGUUGGAAAGUUUCGGCGGUUGGGGAUGGACUCGCGGCUUAUCAGCUUGUUGGUGGGGUAGUGGCUUACCAAGGCUUUGACGGGUAGCCGGCCUGAGAGGGUGACCGGCGACAUUGGGACUGAGAUACGGCGCAGAAUCCUACGGGAGGCAGCAGUGGGGAAUAUUGCACAAUGGGCGGAAGCCUGAUGCAGCAACGCCGCGUGCGGGAUGACGGCCUUCGGGUUGUAAACCGCUUUCGCCUGUGACGAAGCGUGAGUGACGGUAAUGGGUAAAGAAGCACCGGCUAACUACGUG
RNAcentral lists this ribosomal RNA (469 nucleotides) under uncultured bacterium. Its description in RNAcentral is "partial 16S ribosomal RNA". It matches the Rfam family "Bacterial small subunit ribosomal RNA", at positions 27 to 507 of the family's 1533-position model. The record is from RNAcentral.